RNAcentral lists this ribosomal RNA (253 nucleotides) under uncultured bacterium. RNAcentral describes it as "partial 16S ribosomal RNA". It matches the Rfam family "Bacterial small subunit ribosomal RNA", at positions 524 to 776 of the family's 1533-position model. The record is from RNAcentral.
UACGAGUGCCUCAAGCGUUAUCCGGAAUCAUUGGGCGUAAAGGUUGUGUAGGUGGUUGUAUUAGUCUUCUGUUAAAUUCUUCGGCUUAACCGGGGGCAUGCAGAGGAAACGGUACAACUAGAGGAUGCGAGGGGUCUGCGGAACUCAUAGUGUAGCGGUGAAAUGCGUUGAUAUUAUGGGGAACACCAAAAGCGAAGGCAGCAGACUGGAGCACUCCUGACACUGAAACAAGAAAGCGUGGGUCGCGAAUGGG